Pan troglodytes (chimpanzee) is the source of this 148-nucleotide non-coding RNA. It matches the Rfam family "Metazoan signal recognition particle RNA". Rfam says of the family: The signal recognition particle (SRP) is a universally conserved ribonucleoprotein. It is involved in the co-translational targeting of proteins to membranes. NCBI's taxonomy places the organism in Eukaryota, Metazoa, Chordata, Mammalia, Primates, Hominidae. The record is from Rfam.
GUCAGGCAUGGUGGUGCAUGCUUGUAGUCCCAGCUACUCAGGAGGCUGAGUUGGGAGGAUCGCUUGAGCCCAGGAGUUUGGGGCUGCAGUGAGCUGUGAUUGCACCAUUGCACCCCAGCCUGGGCAACAGAGUGAGACCCUAUCCCCC